Molecule: ribosomal RNA, 446 nt
Filed under: uncultured bacterium
Lineage: Bacteria
Description: partial 16S ribosomal RNA
Rfam family: Bacterial small subunit ribosomal RNA
Source: RNAcentral
CCUACGGGUGGCUGCAGUCGAGAAUCAUUCACAAUGGGGGAAACCCUGAUGGUGCGACGCCGCGUGGGGGAAUGAAGGUCUUCGGAUUGUAAACCCCUGUCAUGUGGGAGCAAAUUAAAAAGAUAGUACCACAAGAGGAAGAGACGGCUAACUCGGUGCCAGCAGCCGCGGUAAUACAGAGGUCUCAAGCGUUGUUCGGAAUCACUGGGCGUAAAGCGUGCGUAGGCUGUUUCGUAAGUCGUGUGUGAAAGGGGCGGGCUCAACCCGCGAACGGCACAUGAUACUGCGAGACUAGAGUAAGGGAGAGGUAACCGGAAUUCUCGGUGUAGGAGUGAAAUGCGUAGAUAUCGAGAGGAACACUCGUGGCGAAGGCGGGUUCCUGGACAUUAACUGACGCUGAGGCACGAAGGCCAGGGGAGCGAAAGGGAUUAGAUACCCCUGUAGUC